CAAUAGCGUAUAUUAAAGUUGUUGCAGUUAAAAAGCUCGUAGUUGGAUUUCUGGUGGGAGCGAUCGGUCUGGCGCUUAGCGCGAGUACUUGCAUCGUCUCCGGCCAUCCUUGGGGAGAGUCUGUCUGGCAUUAGGUUGUCGGGCAGAGGAUCCUCAUCGUUUACUGUGAACAAAUUAGAGUGUUCAAAGCAGGCUUAUGCCGUUGAAUAUAUUAGCAUGGAAUAAUAAGAUAGGACUUUGGUACUAUUUUGUUGGUUUGCGCACCAAAGUAAUGAUUAAUAGGGACAGUUGGGGGUAUUCGUAUUCCGUUGUCAGAGGUGAAAUUCUUGGAUUUACGGAAGACGAACUACUGCGAAAGCAUUUACCAAGGAUGUUUUCAUUAA
RNAcentral lists this ribosomal RNA (383 nucleotides) under uncultured eukaryote. RNAcentral's name for it is "partial 18S ribosomal RNA". It matches the Rfam family "Eukaryotic small subunit ribosomal RNA", at positions 592 to 976 of the family's 1831-position model. The record is from RNAcentral.